This 273-nucleotide ribosomal RNA is filed under the name uncultured bacterium. RNAcentral describes it as "partial 16S ribosomal RNA". The record is from RNAcentral.
CUGCUGCCUCCCGUAGGAGUUUGGACCGUGUCUCAGUUCCAAUGUGGGGGACCUUCCUCUCAGAACCCCUACGCAUCGUCGGCUUGGUGGGCCGUUGCCCCACCAACUACCUAAUGCGCCGCAUGUCCAUCCGUGACCGGGGUCGCCCCCUUUGGCCGGCAGGGGAUGUCCCCUCCCGGCAUUAUGUUGUAUUAGGCGGGAUUUCUCCCGGUUAUCCAUCUGUCACGGCCAGGUUGCAUACGUGUUACUCACCCGUGCGCCGGUCGCCGGCGG